This 163-nucleotide ribosomal RNA is filed under the name Hyaloscyphaceae sp. RNAcentral's name for it is "partial large subunit ribosomal RNA". It matches the Rfam family "Eukaryotic large subunit ribosomal RNA", at positions 99 to 261 of the family's 3401-position model. The record is from RNAcentral. Lineage: Eukaryota; Fungi; Ascomycota; Leotiomycetes; Helotiales; Hyaloscyphaceae.
CGGCAACAGCUCAAAUUUGAAAUCUGGCUCUUUCAGGGUCCGAGUUGUAAUUUGUAGAAGAUGCUUCGGGUGUAGCACCGGUCUAAGUUCCUUGGAACAGGACGUCAUAGAGGGUGAGAGCCCCGUACGGUUGGACGCCUAGCCUCUGUAAAGCUCCUUCGAC